AGUUUUCCGAAUCAGUGCAGAGAUUUCGACAGACAUCAACCCAAUAGGGCUGAUUAGACUUCCAAGAUAAGUGAAGUU
Molecule: microRNA precursor, 78 nt
Filed under: Schistosoma mansoni
Lineage: Eukaryota; Metazoa; Platyhelminthes; Trematoda; Strigeidida; Schistosomatidae
Description: mir-3492 microRNA precursor family
Rfam family: mir-3492 microRNA precursor family
Source: Rfam by way of RNAcentral